GAGUGGCGAACGGGUGAGUAACACGUGGGUAACCUGCCCAUCAGAAGGGGAUAACACUUGGAAACAGGUGCUAAUACCGUAUAACAAUCGAAACCGCAUGGUUUUGAUUUGAAAGGCGCUUUCGGGUGUCGCUGAUGGAUGGACCCGCGGUGCAUUAGCUAGUUGGUGAGGUAACGGCUCACCAAGGCCACGAUGCAUAGCCGACCUGAGAGGGUGAUCGGCCACAUUGGGACUGAGACACGGCCCAAACUCCUACGGGAGGCAGCAGUAGGGAAUCUUCGGCAAUGGACGAAAGUCUGACCGAGCAACGCCGCGUGAGUGAAGAAGGUUUUCGGAUCGUAAAACUCUGUUGUUAGAGAAGAACAAGGAUGAGAGUAACUGUUCAUCCCUUGACGGUAUCUAACCAGAAAGCCACGGCUAACUACGUGCCAGCAGCCGCGGUAAUACGUAGGUGGCAAGCGUUGUCCGGAUUUAUUGGGCGUAAAGCGAGCGCAGGCGGUUUCUUAAGUCUGAUGUGAAAGCCCCCGGCUCAACCGGGGAGGGUCAUUGGAAACUGGGAGACUUGAGUGCAGAAGAGGAGAGUGGAAUUCCAUGUGUAGCGGUGAAAUGCGUAGAUAUAUGGAGGAACACCAGUGGCGAAGGCGGCUCUCUGGUCUGUAACUGACGCUGAGGCUCGAAAGCGUGGGGAGCAAACAGGAUUAGAUACCCUGGUAGUCCACGCCGUAAACGAUGAGUGCUAAGUGUUGGAGGGUUUCCGCCCUUCAGUGCUGCAGCUAACGCAUUAAGCACUCCGCCUGGGGAGUACGACCGCAAGGUUGAAACUCAAAGGAAUUGACGGGGGCCCGCACAAGCGGUGGAGCAUGUGGUUUAAUUCGAAGCAACGCGAAGAACCUUACCAGGUCUUGACAUCCUUUGACCACUCUAGAGAUAGAGCUUCCCCUUCGGGGGCAAAGUGACAGGUGGUGCAUGGUUGUCGUCAGCUCGUGUCGUGAGAUGUUGGGUUAAGUCCCGCAACGAGCGCAACCCUUAUUGUUAGUUGCCAUCAUUUAGUUGGGCACUCUAGCAAGACUGCCGGUGACAAACCGGAGGAAGGUGGGGAUGACGUCAAAUCAUCAUGCCCCUUAUGACCUGGGCUACACACGUGCUACAAUGGGAAGUACAACGAGUCGCGAAGUCGCGAGGCUAAGCUAAUCUCUUAAAGCUUCUCUCAGUUCGGAUUGUAGGCUGCAACUCGCCUACAUGAAGCCGGAAUCGCUAGUAAUCGCGGAUCAGCACGCCGCGGUGAAUACGUUCCCGGGCCUUGUACACACCGCCCGUCACACCACGAGAGUUUGUAACACCCGAAGUCGGUGAGGUAACCUUUUGGAGCCAGCCGCCUAAGGUGGGAUAGAUGAUUGGGG
Molecule: ribosomal RNA, 1400 nt
Filed under: Enterococcus durans
Lineage: Bacteria; Bacillati; Bacillota; Bacilli; Lactobacillales; Enterococcaceae
Description: 16S ribosomal RNA
Rfam family: Bacterial small subunit ribosomal RNA
Source: RNAcentral